This 147-nucleotide ribosomal RNA is filed under the name uncultured bacterium. Its description in RNAcentral is "partial 16S ribosomal RNA". It matches the Rfam family "Bacterial small subunit ribosomal RNA", at positions 200 to 334 of the family's 1533-position model. The record is from RNAcentral.
GGAAAAGGUGGGGGACCUUCGGGCCUGCCGUUGUUGGAUGAGUCCGCGGCCCAUUAGCUAGUUGGUAGGGUAAUGGCCUACCAAGGCUACGAUGGGUAGCUGGUCUGAGAGGAUGAUCAGCCACACUGGAACUGAGACACGGUCCAG